AUUGAACGCUGGCGGCAGGCCUAACACAUGCAAGUCGAAUGGUAACAGGAAACCUCUUGCUGUUUCGCUGACGAGUGGCGGCCGGGUGAGUAAUGUCUGGGAAACUGCCUGAUGGAGGGGGAUAACUACUGGAACCGGUAGCUAAUACCGCAUAACGUCGCAAGACCAAAGAGGGGGACCUUCGGGCCUCUUGCCAUCAGAUGUGCCCAGAUGGGAUUAGCUAGUAGGUGGGGUAACGGCUCACCCAGGCGACGACCCCUAGCUGGUCUGAGAGGAUGACCAGCCACACUGGAACUGAGACACGGUCCAGACUCCUACGGGAGGCAGCAGUGGGGAAUAUUGCACAAUGGGCGCAAGCCUGAUGCAGCCAUGCCGCGUGUAUGAAGAAGGCCUUCGGGUUGUAAAGUACUUUCAGCGGGGAGGAAGGGAGUAAAGUUAAUACCUUUGCUCAUUGACGUUACCCGCAGAAGAAGCACCGGCUAACUCCGUG
Molecule: ribosomal RNA, 490 nt
Filed under: uncultured bacterium
Lineage: Bacteria
Description: partial 16S ribosomal RNA
Rfam family: Bacterial small subunit ribosomal RNA
Source: RNAcentral